This 369-nucleotide ribosomal RNA is filed under the name uncultured bacterium. Its description in RNAcentral is "bacterial SSU rRNA". It matches the Rfam family "Bacterial small subunit ribosomal RNA", at positions 527 to 896 of the family's 1533-position model. The record is from RNAcentral.
GUAGGGGGCAAGCGUUAUCCGGAUUUACUGGGUGUAAAGGGAGCGUAGACGGCAAGGCAAGCCUGAUGUGAAAACCCAGGGCUUAACCCUGGGACUGCAUUGGAAACUGUCUGGCUCGAGUGCCGGAGAGGUAAGCGGAAUUCCUAGUGUAGCGGUGAAAUGCGUAGAUAUUAGGAGGAACACCAGUGGCGAAGGCGGCUUACUGGACGGUAACUGACGUUGAGGCUCGAAAGCGUGGGGAGCAAACAGGAUUAGAUACCCUGGUAGUCCACGCCGUAAACUAUGGGUGCUAGCCGUUGGGAAGCUUGCUUUUCAGUGGCGCAGCUAACGCAUUAAGCACCCCGCCUGGGGAGUACGGUCGCAAGAUUA